Molecule: ribosomal RNA, 253 nt
Filed under: uncultured bacterium
Lineage: Bacteria
Description: partial 16S ribosomal RNA
Rfam family: Bacterial small subunit ribosomal RNA
Source: RNAcentral
GACGAACCGUGCGAACGUUGUUCGGAAUCACUGGGCUUAAAGGGCGCGUAGGCGGGCUGCCAAGUCAGGGGUGAAAUCCCACGGCUUAACCGUGGAAGCGCCUUUGAUACUGGCGGUCUCGAGGGGGGUAGGGGCGUGCGGAACUUCCGGUGGAGCGGUGAAAUGCGUAGAUAUCGGAAGGAACACCGGUGGCGAAAGCGGCGCGCUGGACCCCUUCUGACGCUGAGGCGCGAAAGCCAGGGGAGCAAACGGG